RNAcentral lists this ribosomal RNA (272 nucleotides) under uncultured Staphylococcus sp. Its description in RNAcentral is "partial 16S ribosomal RNA". It matches the Rfam family "Bacterial small subunit ribosomal RNA", at positions 90 to 354 of the family's 1533-position model. Lineage: Bacteria; Bacillati; Bacillota; Bacilli; Caryophanales; Staphylococcaceae. The record is from RNAcentral.
CGUUAGCGGCGGACGGGUGAGUAACACGUGGGUAACCUACCUAUAAGACUGGGAUAACUUCGGGAAACCGGAGCUAAUACCGGAUAAUAUUUCGAACCGCAUGGUUCGAUAGUGAAAGAUGGUUUUGCUAUCACUUAUAGAUGGACCCGCGCCGUAUUAGCUAGUUGGUAAGGUAACGGCUUACCAAGGCGACGAUACGUAGCCGACCUGAGAGGGUGAUCGGCCNCACUGGAGCUGAGACACGGUCCAGACUCCUACGGGAGGCAGCAGGC